CUUCUCUAAUUUUUUACUAUAUACCAGUAGAGAAGUCUCUUUUUGAUGCCUAAACACCAGUAAGCAAAGCCUCAUAAAAUCACUAAGAAGAAGAGGAGAAAGAGGAUGUUGGUGUAAGGGAUGUUGGGGCAUCCAACUCUUCGACACCCCCUCCUUAUUUUUGGGUGACAAGAAGAAGGGAGGGAUGCCUCCUUUUUCAUGGAAGGA
This 207-nucleotide long non-coding RNA is filed under the name Elaeis guineensis (African oil palm). RNAcentral describes it as "long non-coding RNA (EGUI_LNC077453)". Lineage: Eukaryota; Viridiplantae; Streptophyta; Magnoliopsida; Arecales; Arecaceae. The record is from RNAcentral.